Molecule: microRNA, 22 nt
Filed under: Bombyx mori (domestic silkworm)
Lineage: Eukaryota; Metazoa; Arthropoda; Insecta; Lepidoptera; Bombycidae
Also listed under: 1 other name
Description: bmo-miR-31-3p
Gene: bmo-miR-31-3p
Source: miRBase by way of RNAcentral
GGCUGUGUCACUUCGAGCCAGC